Molecule: long non-coding RNA, 556 nt
Organism: Cyprinus carpio (common carp)
Lineage: Eukaryota; Metazoa; Chordata; Actinopteri; Cypriniformes; Cyprinidae
Exons: 4
Source: RefSeq, a predicted model, not a curated record
AUAUGAUCCAACACAGGGCUUUACUUGUGUAAAUCCACCAUGGAUUGGAUUGUGGUGGUGGAAGUGGUGGUGUCAGGACUACAAAGUUCGUUUCACAUGUCCAAGAAGUUUUUGCCAACCAAAGUGUGUAACAAGGUGGUAUGAUUCUGACGACCCUGAUACAAAUCGAGGCAAUUUUGAAUUUUUGUCUACCAUUCUCAAUAAGUACCCUGGAGAAAUAUGUCGAAAUCCAAUCGCAAUAGAGGCUCAGACCGUCUCUGGGGAUCCUGUGUAUCAAACUGGAAAUAACAUUCAACUGUAUAUUUCAGCAUAUGGGUUUUCUUGCACAAAUGUAAAACCAGGAUUUUGUGCUGAUUAUAAGGUGCGCUUCACCUGCCCAGAUGAAUGGUGUUCAACAUGUAGGACACCCUGGUUUGACCAAGAUGAUCCAGAUAAAGAAGGAGACUGGGAGACUCUGUCAUCAAUCCUGUUGAAAUACCCACUACAGGUCUGUGCUCAGCCCAUCGCUAUUGAGGUCGUAACCACCAGUGGGAUCCUUGUACAGCCGAAUGGAAAU